AUGGUUGAAAACUUUGUUAACCAAUGUCCUGUGUGUCAGCUGAUUAAAGUGGAACACAAACAUCCUGCAAGCUUACUUCAACCCCUCCCAAUUCCUGCAGCUCCAUGGUCCCGAAUCAGCAUGGACUUCAUCGAGGCUCUUCCUAAAUCUGCUGGCAAGGAAGUUAUCCUAGUAGUCGUAUAUCGUCUCAGAAAAUAUGCUCACUUCAUAGCACUUUCUCACCCAUACUCUGUUGAAAGUGUAGUGCAAGUGUUCAUUGAAAACAUCUUCAGACUACAUGGGUUUCCAAAGGAAAUCGUCUCAGAUAGGGAUCGGAUAUUCACAAGCAAUAUAUACAAGCAACUGUUCACAGCACUCAAGAUUAAGCUCAAAUUCAGUAUUGCCCACCACCCACAAACUGGAAGAGUCAAUCAGGGUGUGGAACAUUACCUCAUUAGCAUGGUCUUCCAAGAACCUAAGCAAUGGCUCUCAUUUGCAGAAUGGUGGUACAACACUUCUUUUCACUCGGCAAUCAAACAGUCACCAUUCGAAGCGUUAUACAACUACCCACCCCCUAUGAUUGGCGAGUUUGUUCUGUCAGAUACAUUCAAUCCAGCAGUUCAGUUAACAGUUACUGAAAAGCAAAAGUUACUGCACAAGCUGAAAGAAAAUCUCCAAGUUGCUCAAGAAUGUAUGAAAAUGCAAGCUGACAAGUUAAGGAUAGAGAGACAAUUGAAGGAAGGAGCAAUGGUAUAUAUCAGAAUCCAACCUUAUCGCCAGAAUGCAUUUGGGUUAAGGGGAUCGUUGAAACUGCGAUCUAAGUAUUAUGGACCUUUUAAAGUGCUACAGAGAAUCGGUCAGGUGUCCUAUAAACUGCAGCUACCAGAUACAGCAGAAAUUCAUCCUGUGUUCCACAUCAGCCAGCUCAAAGAACAUGUUGGCAACCAUGCUGUUCCACUCCCUCAUGUUCCAUUAGUUACUGAAGAUGGCAAGAUCAAGACGACACCAUUUUCUCAGCUGGACACCAGAACUAUUAUCACUCGCAAGGAAAUUCCAGUGGAACAAUGGCUAAUCCACUGGGAAAGCAUGGGUCCCAAGGACGCUACUUGGGAAGAUGUCGGUUUCAUCGAGACGACUUUUCCAUCGUUCAAGCCUUGGCGACAAAGCUGA
This 1149-nucleotide ribosomal RNA is filed under the name Triticum aestivum (bread wheat). RNAcentral's name for it is "partial small subunit ribosomal RNA". The record is from RNAcentral. Lineage: Eukaryota; Viridiplantae; Streptophyta; Magnoliopsida; Poales; Poaceae.